This 21-nucleotide unclassified non-coding RNA is filed under the name Dictyostelium discoideum. The record is from RNAcentral. Lineage: Eukaryota; Evosea; Eumycetozoa; Dictyosteliales; Dictyosteliaceae.
GGGGUAGUAUUUAUUAGUCGA